RNAcentral lists this ribosomal RNA (619 nucleotides) under uncultured bacterium. RNAcentral's name for it is "bacterial SSU rRNA". It matches the Rfam family "Bacterial small subunit ribosomal RNA", at positions 28 to 641 of the family's 1533-position model. The record is from RNAcentral.
AACGAACGCUGGCGGCGCGCCUAACACAUGCAAGUCGAACGAGAAUCCGGGGCAACUCGGUAGUAAAGUGGCAAACGGGUGAGGAAUACAUGGGUAACCUACCCUUGAGAAGGGAAUAACCCGCCGAAAGGUGAGCUAAUACCCUAUACGCUUUGUUCUUCAUGGAAAGCAAAGGAAAGUCAAGCCGAGGGCUUGGCACUCAAGGAGGGGCUCAUGUCCUAUCAGCUUGUUGGUGGGGUAACGGCCUACCAAGGCUACGACGGGUAGCUGGUCUGAGAGGAUGAUCAGCCACACUGGCACUGAGAUACGGGCCAGACUCCUACGGGAGGCAGCAGUGAGGAAUAUUGCGCAAUGGGCGAAAGCCUGACGCAGCGACGCCGCGUGGGGGAUGAAGGUUUUCGGAUUGUAAACCCCUUUUGUGAGGAAAGAUAAAGUGGGUAACCACUUAGACGGUACCUCAAGAAAAAGCCACGGCUAACUUCGUGCCAGCAGCCGCGGUAAUACGAAGGUGGCGAGCGUUGUUCGGAUUUACUGGGCGUAAAGAGCACGUAGGCGGUUGGGUAUUCCUCUUGGGAAAUCUCCCGGCUUAACCGGGAAAGGUCGAGGGGAACUACUCAGC